Molecule: long non-coding RNA, 3093 nt
Organism: Ziziphus jujuba (common jujube)
Lineage: Eukaryota; Viridiplantae; Streptophyta; Magnoliopsida; Rosales; Rhamnaceae
Exons: 2
Source: RefSeq, a predicted model, not a curated record
GAAGGUCAAAUUGUUGUUUAAGCCGUUGGUUCUGGCAAAAGCUGGAAACACAUGUCAGGUAUAGAAAUUAACAAGUGUGUUAGCAGGUGUGCAAAACGAGUGUUGCUAGCAGUCUUCACGUUGCAAUAUGGAUUUUUAACUUGCUUAGAAAACCCAAAAUAGAUUUGUUAUGGAUAAAAAUAGUACAAAAUUACAAAGAAAGGCGUUAAUGAUAAAUUUCAGAAAAGUUGGGGGGUUUAUUAGAUACAAUUAUUGCAAAAGUAGAAGGGUCUAAAUAAAAUUUGCAGAAAUUUUACCAGCUGCGAUGAUGAUGCCUGCAGCCAUGCGGAAGCGGGGCCAUAAUCUUCUUUGACAGCACUCUCUCAUAUCUUGUUUGACUGAUGAUGAUGGGAGUGCUGUCGACAAGAUCUAGAAGGUACUGUCGAAUAAGAUACAGAUACGGAGGAAGGAUCAACUUUACCUACUCUCAUCACAAUCUUCUUCAUAUUCUCUUCAAUUUUUAUUUUUUUAUUGUUCGUAUUUUUUUUCCCAGAUUAGAUUUCCCUGUUAAUCACCAUGGUAUUAACAAAGAUACUAACUUGUUGGUUUUGUUUAUUUAAUUGUGUGGUCGAUUCACAGGAAGUUUCAUCAUAUAUAUAUAUAUAUAUUUUUUUUUUAUUUGUUUGUUUAUUGUCUUUAGAGUGUUCCGUUUUGAUCUGCCUCAAAUAUAUUCGAGGAGGAUUCAGUCUAUUUAUAGUCUUCGGUUUCUUAAAGUUGACUAUACCCCCCAUUGUUGAUCACCUUUGCAAAGAUUUAUUAUAUCUAUUAUUGGUUUGGAUUUUUUUUUUUCCCUCCACUCCUAUUAGUCUAGUGCUAUUAACUCUUGUUUAUGCACGCUUGUAUGAUUUCUUUAAAAAGUAAAACCAACUAUGUCAGCUGUAAGUGUAAGCAUUAUUUUAUUCUGAAGAUGCUUAAACCUCCUUUUGUUGUAUUUGGUCAAUUCUUUGCAACUUGUGUAUAUAAAGAUUAUAUAUACAUAUAUAUAUAUAUAUAUAUAUUUUGUCUCUUCGGGGUGAGAUGUCAAAGACUCUUUUUAUAUUGAGGUGCCGCGAAGUACAUGUACAUAACAUAGUCAUGUGUUAUGGAUGGUUCCUCAUAACAUAUUUUUAAUAGUGGGAAUAAAAUUUUAGGUUUUCACCAAAAGAUUAUUUUAAAUGCAAUUGGAAUCUCAUAUAUGGCGAGCCUUAAAGACAAAGGAAGUGAUUCAACCUCUGGAUCUUGUUAAAUAGCACUCUUUCAUCUUUUUUCAAGACAUGGCAUGAAAGAGUUGUCGAUUGAGCAAGAUCUAUAUUACAUCGGAAAACCAAUACUAUUUUCCAUUCUGCAACACUAGAGGAUUCAGUUUAGUAGCGUAGACAACAAGUUUUGGCUUCGUUAGUUUUACCAUCCAAACAAUUUAUGGGUAAUGUUUAUUUAAUUUUUCGCUUACUUUUACAAAGUUUCCUCCUUUCCUUUUAUUUUACAAUGAGUUUCACUUUGUUCAAUCUGAACGCUUGAAAAUUUAUUUCAUUUCUGCUAUCCUGAAUUGGCUUUGUAAGGUUGGCUAUCCUAAAUUUUUUAUCUAAUUAAAUUUAGGGACAAAAUAGGACUAUGUUCUUUGGCAAAUAUUUUAUAUUAUUUGUUUAUUUUUUGGUCUGUUUUUUUUUCCUUGAUUGUUCAUGUUUAUGCAGGGUUGGUUGUUGUGAUCUAUAUAACAAUUAAUAGAAUAAAUGUUAAUGGCAGUGGUACGUUAAAAGCCCACAUUCUGGAGUAACAUGUCUAUCUAUUUAUUUGAAUAUUGUUUAUGGAUAUUUAAAAUUCAAUUGGUAAGAUGAUGUUAAGAACAUGUAUAACUACUUCCUUCCAUUUUCAUUUGUGUUUAGAUAAUCGAUGAGAAAAUGUGGUUUGAUAGAAAACUGCCUAUUGUUCGAAGUGGAGUUGGAGCAUAACAUAACAUGCUUUUAAAGAAUUAUUAUUGGGAAAUUUACAGAUAAGAUAAUGAUGCAUUUUUUUCUCCCCUCCCUCUCCCUCAUAAGUUUAGUACAUAGAGACAUUUUUGUUAUAACUUAAUUCUUCCCUUUGAACUUAACCUAGUAAAACUCUAAUUUCUUUAUUAGAUUUAAGCUGAUAGUUGAUUGAUUGUGUUUAAUAUUUUUCUUUAAACACAAAGGAAAAGACAAAUGUAUUUUGCAUGACAGGCUCUUGCUAGUUUUAGAUAGCAUUAAUUUCUGCAGAAGUGGACAGGCAGCAUCCCUUUUGGCUGCUUUUGGUGCUGUCAUUUGUUCUCCACUUCGAUUAUCGAUUGCCAGUGUUUUGGUCUGCAGCUGGGGCUUAUGGCAUGUACUGUUUCAGUAGAACAGUUUCUGACAUCAGAUUUGUACUAAUGGUUUGAUUCCCGAAUGGAACUGGAUUUUUGUGAUGUAUUUGCCCAAGUUUGGAGAUAUCUGGUUUCAAUGAAGGGGAGGUUGGAUGGAAAAGUUGAUCCUUGUAUUGAAGUUACUUCUACAUCAUUAUAAAAGUUGAACAUGUGGUAGGAGGAGCAACCUCCUGAUGUGGGAAGGUAAUAUUGGGAAAGAAAGAAACAGAAAUGCACGUUUAAUCUAGAUUAUUAGAAGCAAAAGAAGAGGAAGACAACAGAGGCCAGCCUUAAAGACCAAGGAAGUUGUUUGCCCCCCUCUGCUCACAUCUCUUGGGGUUGAAUUCAAUCUCCAUAAUGUGUGAUAUCGUUUUGAGAGAUUGAAGAUAGGGGUGGGCACGGUUCGCCUUGGAUCGGUUCCACCCGAGAGUUCCAACCGAACUGAUCAUUCGGUUAUCCAUAAAUACUAACCCGAACCGACCCAUGGACAAUUGAAAACCAAGCAUUUAACCGAAUAAACGGGUCGGUUUGGUUCGGGUUCCGAUUGGUCGGUUUGGACUUAUAUUUAGGCCUCUGAUUUUGGGCUUGUUUUCGAAUUAGUGGAUCAGAAAUUAUCUUUGAGCUAACAAUUUUGGGCAUACUUUCAGCUAAUUGAGCUGGGUUUAUUUUUGGACCUAUAGUUUUUGGCCUGUCCAAUAUACAAUUAGAAAUUACCUUCA